AACGAACGCUGGCGGCAUGCCUAACACAUGCAAGUCGAACGAGACCUUCGGGUCUAGUGGCGCACGGGUGCGUAACGCGUGGGAACCUGCCCUUAGGUUCGGAAUAACUCCCCGAAAGGGGUGCUAAUACCGGAUAAUGUCUUCGGACCAAAGAUUUAUCGCCUUUGGAUGGGCCCGCGUUGGAUUAGCUAGUUGGUAGGGUAAAAGCCUACCAAGGCGACGAUCCAUAGCUGGUCUGAGAGGAUGAUCAGCCACACUGGGACUGAGACACGGCCCAGACUCCUACGGGAGGCAGCAGUGGGGAAUAUUGGGCAAUGGGCGAAAGCCUGAUCCAGCAAUGCCGCGUGAGUGAUGAAGGCCUUAGGGUUGUAAAGCUCUUUUACCCGGGAUGAUAAUGACAGUACCGGGAGAAUAAACUCCGGCUAACUCCGU
RNAcentral lists this ribosomal RNA (432 nucleotides) under uncultured bacterium. Its description in RNAcentral is "partial 16S ribosomal RNA". It matches the Rfam family "Bacterial small subunit ribosomal RNA", at positions 29 to 506 of the family's 1533-position model. The record is from RNAcentral.